GGAAGAACAAGCCUAGACACGUUUCUUCACGGAGCCCAAGGAAAACACUUUACCGAACUCAUAUGGGAUGGCCCUGUAAGUUGUGCAGCACUGUUGUACCAACCAAGAGUGACAUUUUAAAGCAUUACAGACUGCACCAUGGGACCUUUGGACACAGCCAUUCUUUGCCUUGCAUUCAUAGUCUAGCUCCACUCCCACCACGUUACUGGCCUUCUCUACCAACUUGUCCAGUCUGAUUGCGUCCCUCGCUCUCAGCCCGCUGCCCCAGCAGGCCACGGCGUACAAGAAGGCGCCUGCCACCACCGACUCGUAGAAUAUCUUCUAUUCUAUUCUAUUCUAUUAUCAUUCUAUUUUUCCUGACCAAGUUUCCAUUGUGACUUGGACAUGACAUACUAGACUCACUUUUUGCCUGAAAAUGUAUACUAAUACCCUUAAUAUCAGUAACGGUCAACAUUUGCUGUCUUACAGAUUAAUGAAGCGUUCCGAAGGUGCACUGCUGUUCCACUGGAAUCAACAUUUAUGUCCCAACUGGACAGGUACACUCCAAAACUCCUGGAGCUCUUCAGUGCAAAAGGAGGAGUGACUGCAGCGCAUCAAGAACUUGUUGAUGGAACUGACACAGGACCCAAGUGCCUCUGCAGUGAAGAAGAGAGAUGUGACUGUGAGAUGCCUCAUAGAGUACGUGGGAGAGAGUGGACAGGAGCUAAUCUCUGACUACUGGAACUGCAGAGACCGCUGUUCAUGAGGACCUGGAAAUGAAGAAUAUGAGCAUCUACAUCUGUCGUGAGCCAAAUGCAGUAGGAAUCAUCAUUGAGGGAGUACCAGUCCUUACUCAUCUUGGAAACCUGGCCAAAGCAUGCUGCCUACUUCCGGGGUUGACGUAUGCACUUAAUCUUGAGUAUCCAUCCAAACUUUCCAAAACAUUUGAGGUGUUUCAAAGACUUUUUGUGGGACUUGACACACUGCGCCCAAAACCAACCCCCAAAUUCAUGACUCUCAAAAACAAGCUUCUAGCUUAGGCAGUGAGCCAUGACUGUCAGCUUGCACUUUUGAACAGCUAUUUUCUUGUGUCUGUUCAAAAUCAUUAUACAUUGUUCAUUGAGUGGAAUUCUUCAGAAUGUUGUAACGGUUUGUCCUGUUCAGGUUUUAUACAAAGCUCCAGGUCAUCGUUUCUGGUGUGUAAAUUAAGUUUUUUUAUGUUUUAUACACACUAAAUUGCCCCACUGUGAAGCUCCAGCUGGUCAGAAGGAGGGAUCUGUGAGUUGUUUAAGUUAAAAUGUUUCAAAAUAUACACACUGAAAGACACUACAGUGAAGGUGUUCUGCUUGUAAAUUGUUACAGAAGUACAGAUAAUCUUAAUGUUAAAUUGUUUUAGCAAGAAACUGUACUGUGAAUGUUCUAAGUAAAACUUGAGAUGCUGAGGUCAUGCAUUCUUUUAUGCACUAAAUACUGAUGUUCUUGACUGUUAAUACUGUCCAGCUUAUUGACAGGUUUGGAUAUGGCUUGUGAAAAUGUUUUAAUAUGUAUACGGUUAAAAAAAGAAGAAAACUACUGUGAAGGUGUUCUAUACAGCACUUUAAAAAGUUGAGGUCAUGCAUUCUUGUAUAAUAUGGAUGUUGACUGUUCAUACUGCCCAGCUCAUUGCCACUGUUUUUAUAUGGUAAUGAUUUAAUAAAGGUUGGA
Long non-coding RNA from Nerophis lumbriciformis (worm pipefish), 1683 nucleotides. RefSeq lists it as uncharacterized. Lineage: Eukaryota; Metazoa; Chordata; Actinopteri; Syngnathiformes; Syngnathidae. The record is from RefSeq and is a predicted model, not a curated record.